RNAcentral lists this non-coding RNA (28 nucleotides) under Mus musculus (house mouse). Lineage: Eukaryota; Metazoa; Chordata; Mammalia; Rodentia; Muridae. The record is from RNAcentral.
UGGUGUCCGACCCACGGCACGGGCCUGU